ACGAGAUAUAACAAUGGCUUUAGUGGCGGACUGGUGAGUAACACGUAAGAAACCUGCCUAUUAGAGGGGGACAACAGUUGGAAACGACUGCUAAUACCGCAUGACGCAUAGGGGUCGCAUGAUUCUUAUGCCAAAGAUUUAUCGCUUCAAGAUGGCCUCGCGUCUGAUUAGCUUGUUGGCGGGGUAACGGCCCACCAAGGCGACGAUCAGUAGCCGGACUGAGAGGUUGAACGGCCACAUUGGGACUGAGAUACGGCCCAGACUCC
This 266-nucleotide ribosomal RNA is filed under the name uncultured Oscillibacter sp. RNAcentral's name for it is "partial 16S ribosomal RNA". It matches the Rfam family "Bacterial small subunit ribosomal RNA", at positions 66 to 339 of the family's 1533-position model. Lineage: Bacteria; Bacillati; Bacillota; Clostridia; Eubacteriales; Oscillospiraceae. The record is from RNAcentral.